GACGAACGCUGGCGGCGUGCUUAACACAUGCAAGUCGAACGGAAAGGCCCUGCUUUUGUGGGUUUCUCGAGUGGCGAACGGGUGAGUAACACGUGAGUAACCUGCCCUUGACUUUGGGAUAACUUCAGGAAACUGGGGCUAAUACCGGAUAGGAGCUCCUGCUGCAUGGUGGGCGUUGGAAAGUUUCGGCGGUUGGGGCUGGACUCGCGGCUUAUCCGCUUGUUGGUGGAGUAGUGGCUUACCAAGGCUUUGACGGGUAGCCUGCCUGAGAGGGUGACCGGCCACAAUGGGACUGAGGUACGGACCAGAAGCCAACGGGAGGCAGCAGUGGGAAGUAUUGCACAAUGGGCGGAAGCCUGAUGCAGCAACGCCGCGUGCGGGAUGACGGCCUUCGGGUUGUAAACCGCUUUCGCCUGUGACGAAGCGUGAGUGACGGUAAUGGGUAAAGAAGCACCGGCUAACUACGUG
This 468-nucleotide ribosomal RNA is filed under the name uncultured bacterium. Its description in RNAcentral is "partial 16S ribosomal RNA". It matches the Rfam family "Bacterial small subunit ribosomal RNA", at positions 28 to 507 of the family's 1533-position model. The record is from RNAcentral.